AGUUGUGAAGAGUAGAUUUGUUAAGCUCACAUCUUGAUGUGAAACCUCGAUAUCCAAAACCAAAGAUUUGUCCAUAUUUAUUGUUGAUUACCCCAAGAUUUAUAUCUUUUGACGCUACAAUUUCAAGAUAUUCCCUGGAUGUGGAAAGUGGAUAAUGAUGAGUCCUGUUUAAAGAAAGUAAAGGAUUGACUCUUCUAGAGAGCCUGAAAAGUGACAUCUUCCGCGAAACUGGAAGCAACCCGGUAUUUUUCUCGGAAGCUUAAGCUCCAAACUAUACAAAUUUGUUCCCAAAAUAGCAAAAAUCAAGAGGCUCUCGUCGGAAUUCGAACCAAUAGGUGAAAAUGCGCAGUAACCUCAAAGUACAAACGUAAAUCCCAAUCUUUUACUCAAGUCUCCGGUAGAGAGAAGUGGCCGCCGGUGGAGUGGGAAAAUGGUUCAGGCGAG
RNAcentral lists this unclassified non-coding RNA (444 nucleotides) under Hevea brasiliensis (rubber tree). Lineage: Eukaryota; Viridiplantae; Streptophyta; Magnoliopsida; Malpighiales; Euphorbiaceae. The record is from RNAcentral.